AUCAAUUCACGCUAGAAAUCAUUCCUUGCUCUCUGCCGCACCCUUCCACCACCAUUCUCCCAAAUUUCUGCCUAAAAACAACCCUAGCCGCACCACCCAUCAACCCUAAAGCCUUCCAUACCAUUCCCCAUCCAUUCUACACCACAAAUAACCCCAAAAACCUAUCUAAAGUUCUCUGUCGCAGCAAGGAGGAAGGAGGAUUCUUGGAUGCACUUACUGCCACGUUGGAGCAUUCUAGGUGUUUUCUUUCCUUUGAUUUUAAUUUCUAAACUUAUGUAUCAUUGCUUUGCGAGUAUGAGGAACUAAACCCCCCAUUGGUUAGGGGGGGAUUCGAAACCAUG
RNAcentral lists this long non-coding RNA (341 nucleotides) under Malus domestica (apple). RNAcentral describes it as "long non-coding RNA (MDOM_LNC003518)". The record is from RNAcentral. Lineage: Eukaryota; Viridiplantae; Streptophyta; Magnoliopsida; Rosales; Rosaceae.